This 253-nucleotide ribosomal RNA is filed under the name uncultured bacterium. RNAcentral describes it as "partial 16S ribosomal RNA". It matches the Rfam family "Bacterial small subunit ribosomal RNA", at positions 524 to 776 of the family's 1533-position model. The record is from RNAcentral.
GACGAACCGUGCAAACGUUGUUCGGAAUCACUGGGCUUAAAGGGCGCGUAGGCGGCUUGACAAGUCCCGGGUGAAAUCCCUCGGCUCAACCGAGGAACUGCCUUGGAAACUGUCUGGCUUGAGGCCGGGAGAGGGUAGUGGAAUUCCCAGUGUAGCGGUGAAAUGCGUAGAUACUGGGAGGAACACCGGUGGCGAAGGCGGCUACCUGGACCGGUUCUGACGCUGAGGCGCGAAAGCGUGGGUAGCAAACAGG